GCUCAGGAUGAACGCUGGCGGCGUGCCUAAUACAUGCAAGUCGAGCGACUGAUUAGAAGCUUGCUUCUAUGACGUUAGCGGCGGACGGGUGAGUAACACGUGGGCAACCUGCCUGUAAGACUGGGAUAACUUCGGGAAACCGAAGCUAAUACCGGAUAGGAUCUUCUCCUUCAUGGGAGAUGAUUGAAAGAUGGUUUCGGCUAUCACUUACAGAUGGGCCCGCGGUGCAUUAGCUAGUUGGUGAGGUAACGGCUCACCAAGGCAACGAUGCAUAGCCGACCUGAGAGGGUGAUCGGCCACACUGGGACUGAGACACGGCCCAGACUCCUACGGGAGGCAGCAGUAGGGAAUCUUCCGCAAUGGACGAAAGUCUGACGGAGCAACGCCGCGUGAGUGAUGAAGGCUUUCGGGUCGUAAAACUCUGUUGUUAGGGAAGAACAAGUACGAGAGUAACUGCUCGUACCUUGACGGUACCUAACCAGAAAGCCACGGCUAACUACGUGCCAGC
Molecule: ribosomal RNA, 508 nt
Filed under: Bacillus sp. (in: firmicutes)
Lineage: Bacteria; Bacillati; Bacillota; Bacilli; Caryophanales; Bacillaceae
Description: bacterial SSU rRNA
Rfam family: Bacterial small subunit ribosomal RNA
Source: RNAcentral